AUCGUAAGGACAUGUGGAGCGCUUAGAAGUGAGAAUGCCGGUGUGAGUAGCGAAAGACGGGUGAGAAUCCCGUCCACCGAUUGACUAAGGUUUCCAGAGGAAGGCUCGUCCGCUCUGGGUUAGUCGGGUCCUAAGCUGAGGCCGACAGGCGUAGGCGAUGGAUAACAGGUUGAUAUUCCUGUACCACCUAUAAUCGUUUUAAUCGAUGGGGGGACGCAGUAGGAUAGGCGAAGCGUGCGAUUGGAUUGCACGUCUAAGCAGUAAGGCUGAGUAUUAGGCAAAUCCGGUACUCAUUAAGGCUGAGCUGUGAUGGGGAGAAGACAUUGUGUCUUCGAGUCGUUGAUUUCACACUGCCGAGAAAAGCCUCUAGAUAGAAAAUAGGUGCCCGUACCGCAAACCGACACAGGUAGUCAAGAUGAGAAUUCUAAGGUGAGCGAGCGAACUCUCGUUAAGGAACUCGGCAAAAUGACCCCGUAACUUCGGGAGAAGGGGUGCUCUUUAGGGUUAACGCCCAGAAGAGCCGCAGUGAAUAGGCCCAAGCGACUGUUUAUCAAAAACACAGGUCUCUGCUAAACCGUAAGGUGAUGUAUAGGGGCUGACGCCUGCCCGGUGCUGGAAGGUUAAGAGGAGUGGUUAGCUUCUGCGAAGCUACGAAUCGAAGCCCCAGUAAACGGCGGCCGUAACUAUAACGGUCCUAAGGUAGCGAAAUUCCUUGUCGGGUAAGUUCCGACCCGCACGAAAGGCGUAACGAUUUGGGCACUGUCUCAACGAGAGACUCGGUGAAAUCAUAGUACCUGUGAAGAUGCAGGUUACCCGCGACAGGACGGAAAGACCCCGUGGAGCUUUACUGUAGCCUGAUAUUGAAAUUCGGCACAGCUUGUACAGGAUAGGUAGGAGCCUUUGAAACGUGAGCGCUAGCUUACGUGGAGGCGCUGGUGGGAUACUACCCUAGCUGUGUUGGCUUUCUAACCCGCACCACUUAUCGUGGUGGGAGACAGUGUCAGGCGGGCAGUUUGACUGGGGCGGUCGCCUCCUAAAAGGUAACGGAGGCGCUCAAAGGUUCCCUCAGAAUGGUUGGAAAUCAUUCAUAGAGUGUAAAGGCAUAAGGGAGCUUGACUGCGAGACCUACAAGUCGAGCAGGGUCGAAAGACGGACUUAGUGAUCCGGUGGUUCCGCAUGGAAGGGCCAUCGCUCAACGGAUAAAAGCUACCCCGGGGAUAACAGGCUUAUCUCCCCCAAGAGUUCACAUCGACGGGGAGGUUUGGCACCUCGAUGUCGGCUCAUCGCAUCCUGGGGCUGUAGUCGGUCCCAAGGGUUGGGCUGUUCGCCCAUUAAAGCGGUACGCGAGCUGGGUUCAGAACGUCGUGAGACAGUUCGGUCCCUAUCCGUCGUGGGCGUAGGAAAUUUGAGAGGAGCUGUCCUUAGUACGAGAGGACCGGGAUGGACAUACCUCUGGUGUACCAGUUGUCGUGCCAACGGCAUAGCUGGGUAGCUAUGUGUGGACGGGAUAAGUGCUGAAAGCAUCUAAGCAUGAAGCCCCCCUCAAGAUGAGAUUUCCCAACUUCGGUUAUA
This 1572-nucleotide ribosomal RNA is filed under the name Staphylococcus aureus. RNAcentral's name for it is "partial 23S ribosomal RNA". It matches the Rfam family "Bacterial large subunit ribosomal RNA", at positions 1260 to 2831 of the family's 2925-position model. The record is from RNAcentral. Lineage: Bacteria; Bacillati; Bacillota; Bacilli; Caryophanales; Staphylococcaceae.